GGGGAUUUAGCUCAGUGGUAGAGCACUUGUCUAGGAAGCACAAGGUCCUGGGUUUGAUCCCCAGCUCCG
Molecule: transfer RNA, 69 nt
Filed under: Rattus norvegicus (Norway rat)
Lineage: Eukaryota; Metazoa; Chordata; Mammalia; Rodentia; Muridae
Rfam family: tRNA
About the family: Transfer RNA (tRNA) molecules are approximately 80 nucleotides in length.
Source: Rfam by way of RNAcentral